AGGGUCUGCAGGAUGGACCCGGCAGCUGGUGCCCUGUGUGAGGAACGCUGCAACGGACUGCGACAGAACCCUCGAAAACGAAGGUGAAGAGACUGUGCAGUCAUGUGACAGACACAUCAAACCAUACCAUGGCGUGGCUAAGACCCAAGCUGGUAUCAAAAAUAAAGGAAACGACGCUGCAGGACCCGCAGCCCCAGACGAUGUGGCUUCCUCCGAUGACACAGGCCCCAGACAUUACCUGGGGGAAGCUGAAGAAGACAACUCAGGAGGCCGAGUGAAUCCUUCUCUGGACACAGACACCAUCACUCCAGAUAAUCUGUUCCUUGCUAUGCUCUCUAUUGUACCUUGCAACUCUCAUAGGGAUGCAAAGCCGGAACACGAGCUGUAACCGCUGCGCCUGUCAAAUCUGUCACUGCACACAUCUGUACUAUUCAAUCAACAAAACCCGAUGCUAAAAACAGAAAAGGGGGAGACGCGGGAGAUCGGUCAGAGUGGUAGGAGAAGGUAUAGGGAAAGGAACAGACCUUCUGAAAGGCGGGAAGGCUCUGGAUAGCUUCAGGGAUGAAUAAGCUGAAGGCAGCUGUUCUCUUACCCUGAGGCAGAGGGCAAGGGGUAGGUAAGGAAGUAUAGGGGAAUUUGGCAUAAACAGGCUUGUUUACUUACAUUGUCCGGAAACCGACUUUGAUCAUCAGGGCAGGAGACUGCUCCCUGAAAGGGGGAAUAAUAAUGUUAAUUACCCACAGAUUGUGUUGGCUCCAGG
RNAcentral lists this long non-coding RNA (760 nucleotides) under Homo sapiens (human). RNAcentral describes it as "HSALNT0408963". The record is from RNAcentral. Lineage: Eukaryota; Metazoa; Chordata; Mammalia; Primates; Hominidae.